RNAcentral lists this non-coding RNA (134 nucleotides) under Branchiibius sp. NY16-3462-2. RNAcentral describes it as "FMN riboswitch aptamer (RFN element)". It matches the Rfam family "FMN riboswitch aptamer (RFN element)". From Rfam's summary of the family: The RFN element is a highly conserved domain that is found frequently in the 5'-untranslated regions of prokaryotic mRNAs that encode for flavin mononucleotide (FMN) biosynthesis and transport proteins. This element is a metabolite-dependent riboswitch that directly binds FMN in the absence of proteins. In Bacillus subtilis, the riboswitch most likely controls gene expression by causing premature transcription termination within the 5' untranslated region of the ribDEAHT operon and precluding access to the ribosome-binding site of ypaA mRNA. Lineage: Bacteria; Bacillati; Actinomycetota; Actinomycetes; Micrococcales; Dermacoccaceae. The record is from Rfam by way of RNAcentral. RNAcentral also lists the same sequence under 1 other name.
AACGUGCUCCGGGGUCGGUGUAAUUCCGAGCCGGCGGUGAUAGUCCGCGACCCACGAGUUCCUUGGGGAAUGAGUGGUUGACCUGGUGGAACUCCAGGACCGACGGUGAAAGUCCGGAUGGGAGGCAGCACGCC